Molecule: ribosomal RNA, 1436 nt
Filed under: uncultured organism
Description: 16S ribosomal RNA
Rfam family: Bacterial small subunit ribosomal RNA
Source: RNAcentral
CGACAGGCUUAACACAUGCAAGUCGAGGGGCAGCACAGGUAGCAAUACCGGGUGGCGACCGGCGCACGGGUGAGUAACGCGUAUGCAACUUACCUAUCAGAGGGGGAUAACCCGGCGAAAGUCGGACUAAUACCGCAUGAAGCAGGGGCCCCGCAUGGGGAUAUUUGCUAAAGAUUCAUCGCUGAUAGAUAGGCAUGCGUUCCAUUAGGCAGUUGGCGGGGUAACGGCCCACCAAACCGACGAUGGAUAGGGGUUCUGAGAGGAAGGUCCCCCACAUUGGUACUGAGACACGGACCAAACUCCUACGGGAGGCAGCAGUGAGGAAUAUUGGUCAAUGGCCGAGAGGCUGAACCAGCCAAGUCGCGUGAGGGAUGAAGGUUCUAUGGAUCGUAAACCUCUUUUAUAAGGGAAUAAAGUGCGGGACGUGUCCCGUUUUGUAUGUACCUUAUGAAUAAGGAUCGGCUAACUCCGUGCCAGCAGCCGCGGUAAUACGGAGGAUCCGAGCGUUAUCCGGAUUUAUUGGGUUUAAAGGGUGCGUAGGCGGCCUUUUAAGUCAGCGGUGAAAGUCUGUGGCUCAACCAUAGAAUUGCCGUUGAAACUGGGGGGCUUGAGUAUGUUUGAGGCAGGCGGAAUGCGUGGUGUAGCGGUGAAAUGCAUAGAUAUCACGCAGAACCCCGAUUGCGAAGGCAGCCUGCCAAGCCAUUACUGACGCUGAUGCACGAAAGCGUGGGGAUCAAACAGGAUUAGAUACCCUGGUAGUCCACGCAGUAAACGAUGAUCACUAGCUGUUUGCGAUACACUGUAAGCGGCACAGCGAAAGCGUUAAGUGAUCCACCUGGGGAGUACGCCGGCAACGGUGAAACUCAAAGGAAUUGACGGGGGCCCGCACAAGCGGAGGAACAUGUGGUUUAAUUCGAUGAUACGCGAGGAACCUUACCCGGGUUUGAACGCAUUCGGACCGAGGUGGAAACACCUUUUCUAGCAAUAGCCGUUUGCGAGGUGCUGCAUGGUUGUCGUCAGCUCGUGCCGUGAGGUGUCGGCUUAAGUGCCAUAACGAGCGCAACCCUUGCCACUAGUUACUAACAGGUAAAGCUGAGGACUCUGGUGGGACUGCCAGCGUAAGCUGCGAGGAAGGCGGGGAUGACGUCAAAUCAGCACGGCCCUUACAUCCGGGGCGACACACGUGUUACAAUGGCGUGGACAAAGGGAAGCCACCUGGCGACAGGGAGCGAAUCCCCAAACCACGUCUCAGUUCGGAUCGGAGUCUGCAACCCGACUCCGUGAAGCUGGAUUCGCUAGUAAUCGCGCAUCAGCCAUGGCGCGGUGAAUACGUUCCCGGGCCUUGUACACACCGCCCGUCAAGCCAUGGGAGCCGGGGGUACCUGAAGUCCGUAACCGCGAGGAUCGGCCUAGGGUAAAACUGGUGACUGGGGCUA